AUACGGAAGGUCCGGGCGUUAUCCGGAUUUAUUGGGUUUAAAGGGAGCGCAGGCGGAGAUGCAAGCGUGACGUCAAAUUUCGGGGCUCAACCCCGUCUCGCGUCGCGAACUGCGUCCCUUGGUUGCGGGAAGGGGAGGCGGAACUCGUGGUGUAGCGGUGAAAUGCAUAGAUAUCACGAAGAACUCCGAUCGCGAAGGCAGCCUUCCGGCCCGUCAACGACGCUCAUGCUCGAAGGUGCGGGUAUCAAACAGGAUUAGAUACCCUGGUAGUCCGCACAGUAAACGAUGGACACCCGCGGUUUGGCCUGUAUGGCUGAGCCGCCAAGCGAAAGCGUUAAGUGUUCCACCUGGGGAGUACGCCGGCAACGGUGAAACUCAAAUGAAUUGACGGGG
RNAcentral lists this ribosomal RNA (393 nucleotides) under uncultured bacterium. Its description in RNAcentral is "partial 16S ribosomal RNA". It matches the Rfam family "Bacterial small subunit ribosomal RNA", at positions 523 to 918 of the family's 1533-position model. The record is from RNAcentral.